GCACUUUCCAUGAGCUCUAUAUAAACUGAUCUUUGCCUUCAUACUUGAACAUAAGAAAGAAACCAAUCCAAAGCCCACGUAUAAGUUCCUAGUUUUAAGCUUACUCCCCUCCUACUAACUCACCCUCAAAUGGCACCUCAUGCCAGCCGCCUUGCCGAUAUUGGAAGGGAGGGUUUCGAUCUAGUGGACAGAUUUUGUGGUGGAGGCACAUACAAUCAAGGAUCAAAGAAGCAAUACGAUGUCCCACAGAAAUAUGCUCCUGUUCUGAGCAACGAGAACGUAAUUGAUUGCAAGAAGGCUGCCAAAAAAUACGAAGGAGUGGUGAUCACGGAGUUCUACAAGAAGAAGUUUGUCAACCAGCGUUUUUAGGCUCUAGCGCUGUAAACUUGCGAUGGUUCUAGUAACAUCCUGUAAGGUAGAAGUAAACCGGCCAUACAAGUCUCUUGUUUUCGUCAUGUUGGUCGCUUCAAAUCUAGUACUGCUAUUAUGUGUACCUUUGUUUCCUGCUUUCUGAAGGUUAGUCGUAUACUUGGAUGUGUCUAAGCUAGUAAGUGGACCUCCUUUUAUACUAAA
Molecule: long non-coding RNA, 573 nt
Filed under: Eucalyptus grandis
Lineage: Eukaryota; Viridiplantae; Streptophyta; Magnoliopsida; Myrtales; Myrtaceae
Description: long non-coding RNA (EGRA_LNC005197)
Source: RNAcentral